CGACCUCAGGUCAGGCAAGACAACCCGCUGAGUUUAAGCAUAUCACUAAGCGGAGGAAAAGAAACUAACAAGGAUUUCCCUAGUAGCGGCGAGCGAAACGGAAAGAGCCCAGCUUGGAAAUCGGGGUGUCUCUGCACCCCGAAUUGUAGUCUGGAGAAGGGUCCUCUGCAGCGGACCGGGUUUAAGUCCCUUGGAACGGGACGCCAGAGAGGGUGAGAGCCCCGUCUAGCCCGGACCCUGCUGCAUCACGAGGCUCUUUCGGCGAGUCGGGCUGUUUGGGAAUGCAGCACUUAAGUGGGUGGUAAAUUCCAUCCAAGGCUAAAUACUGGUGAGAGACCGAUAGCGCACAAG
This 351-nucleotide non-coding RNA is filed under the name Selaginella moellendorffii. RNAcentral's name for it is "Eukaryotic large subunit ribosomal RNA". It matches the Rfam family "Eukaryotic large subunit ribosomal RNA", at positions 1 to 348 of the family's 3401-position model. The record is from Rfam by way of RNAcentral. Lineage: Eukaryota; Viridiplantae; Streptophyta; Lycopodiopsida; Selaginellales; Selaginellaceae.